CAUGCAAGUCGAGCGGUAAGGCCCUUCGGGGUACACGAGCGGCGAACGGGUGAGUAACACGUGGGUGAUCUGCCUCGUACUCUGGGAUAAGCCUGGGAAACUGGGUCUAAUACCGGAUAUGACCACGAAUCGCAUGGUUUGUGGUGGAAAGAUUUAUCGGUGCGAGAUGGGCCCGCGGCCUAUCAGCUUGUUGGUGGGGUAAUGGCCUACCAAGGCGACGACGGGUAGCCGGCCUGAGAGGGCGACCGGCCACACUGGGACUGAGACACGGCCCAGACUCCUACGGGAGGCAGCAGUGGGGAAUAUUGCACAAUGGGCGGAAGCCUGAUGCAGCGACGCCGCGUGAGGGAUGACGGCCUUCGGGUUGUAAACCUCUUUCGACAGGGACGAAGCGUAAGUGACGGUACCUGUAGAAGAAGCACCGGCCAACUACGUGCCAGCAGCCGCGGUAAUACGUAGGGUGCGAGCGUUGUCCGGAAUUACUGGGCGUAAAGAGCUUGUAGGCGGUUCGUCGCGUCGAUCGUGAAAACGUGCAGCUCAACUGCACGCUUGCGGUCGAUACGGGCGGACUAGAGUACUGCAGGGGAGACUGGAAUUCCUGGUGUAGCGGUGAAAUGCGCAGAUAUCAGGAGGAACACCGGUGGCGAAGGCGGGUCUCUGGGCAGUAACUGACGCUGAGAAGCGAAAGCGUGGGUAGCGAACAGGAUUAGAUACCCUGGUAGUCCACGCCGUAAACGGUGGGCGCUAGGUGUGGGUUUCC
This 760-nucleotide ribosomal RNA is filed under the name Nocardia veterana. Its description in RNAcentral is "bacterial SSU rRNA". It matches the Rfam family "Bacterial small subunit ribosomal RNA", at positions 54 to 831 of the family's 1533-position model. The record is from RNAcentral. Lineage: Bacteria; Bacillati; Actinomycetota; Actinomycetes; Mycobacteriales; Nocardiaceae.